AUUAUUAAUUAAUAUUUUUAAAUGCAUAUUUUAAUUUAUUUUUGUGAAAACCCAAUGGCAUCUUUUUAUAAAAUCCUAUAACUUUUCAAAAAUCUACCAAACCAAACUUUUAAAAGUAAUACUAAACCAACUAAUCUGUCAUUAACAAUGAGGUGGCAAACUAUAGUUUUCCAGUAGCAUUGCACUAUAUCAUACAUUAAUUCCUUUCCAUGUUCUGUUUGCGCACUUGGUCCCAUGCUUAGUAGUGUGAAUGAUGUGUUGUGGUCAACACAAGCCCAGCAAAUAUCUAGUACUAAUGCAACAUGAAGGGAAACAUACACAACAUAAUAUGUGAUAAAAAAACUAUCUCACAUCUAAUGUUUGCUCGAGCCCAUAUAUCUAUCAACUUGAAUAUUUGAAAAGAUGAAACAUAAUCCCCUAUCGAAAGUAGUAGACAUCUUUUAAAUAUUCAUGAACCCACCAACCUAUCAACUAGGUUUUCGAGUUGGACAUUAUCACCCUGUCCGAGUUGGACAUUAUCACCUUGUCCAUCUAGAAGCUCAAAGUUUUUGAGUUGGACAUUAUCACCGAAGGCAUUGCACCUUAGAAAUAAUUUGCCAUGAUCUUUUUUUUAUCUUUUCUUAAUAAAAAUAUUCUUUAGUUAAGCAAC
Molecule: long non-coding RNA, 649 nt
Filed under: Elaeis guineensis (African oil palm)
Lineage: Eukaryota; Viridiplantae; Streptophyta; Magnoliopsida; Arecales; Arecaceae
Description: long non-coding RNA (EGUI_LNC030448)
Source: RNAcentral